GAAUUGAGUGCUUUGUGACAUGCUACACUGUUAGGCUAUUUUCAAGCUUUGCCAACAGCUGUCGGCUGUCUGCUUAUUUAGCAAGAAUAGGAAAUGCAGCAGGUUCAAGGCAGGGGGAGAAGAAUUCAUUUGGAUGCACAUAUUACUUUGCUGCCAGAGUGUACAAUAUACUAUGAAGAGGAGGUCGUUGUCAUCGAAGGACUUAGAGAUGGAUCUUUUCCCAGGCUAUACUAAAUACUUCAGGUUCUUGCACAGAAAACAUUAUAUUUGCUUCUGAAGAAGUAUGUGGAUUCCUUGUGAGAAUAAGUCCCAGAAUUAAAAUGCACCAGGGAGAAGGAUAAUGGGAACAACCAGGACAAGUCAGAGCCCAGGAAGAGGUAUGCAAGCUGCACCACACAGCUUUGCCCUCCUAGAUAUUCUGCUGAUUUCAGCACAGCACUGGAGUUUUUUUCACAGCAGAAAAAAAAAUGCAGUUUUAUUAUGAGGGUUGUAAACAGGUGAAUAACAGUAUUUUUAAGUAUGCAUAUUGAAAAAUAACAAAACCCUGUACUGCUCUGUGCAUUAUAAUGUGCAACCGACAAGUGAAGUAAAUCAUGCAGAUACAAAACUUU
This is a long non-coding RNA of Rhea pennata, 611 nucleotides long. RefSeq lists it as uncharacterized. The transcript is spliced from 3 exons. The record is from RefSeq and is a predicted model, not a curated record. NCBI's taxonomy places the organism in Eukaryota, Metazoa, Chordata, Aves, Rheiformes, Rheidae.